AGAACGUCGUGAGACAGUUCGGUCUCUAUCUGUAGUGGGCGCAAGAAAUUUGAGUGAAUCUGACUUUAGUACGAGAGGACCGAGUUGGACUGACCGCUGGUCUACCAGUUGUUCCGCCAGGAGCAUUGCUGGGUAGCUACGUCGGGAAGGGAUAAGCGCUGAAAGCAUAUAAGCGCGAAACCCAUCACAAGAUGAGAUUUCUUUAAAGGGUCGUGGGAGACUACCACGUUGAUAGGUCAUAGGUGUAAAGGCAGUAAUGUCAUAGC
Molecule: ribosomal RNA, 266 nt
Filed under: Mesodinium rubrum
Lineage: Eukaryota; Ciliophora; Litostomatea; Cyclotrichida; Mesodiniidae
Description: partial Bacterial large subunit ribosomal RNA
Rfam family: Bacterial large subunit ribosomal RNA
Source: RNAcentral